GAUGAACGCUGGCGGCGUGCCUAAUACAUGCAAGUCGAGCGAACGGACGAGAAGCUUGCUUCUCUGAUGUUAGCGGCGGACGGGUGAGUAACACGUGGAUAACCUACCUAUAAGACUGGGAUAACUUCGGGAAACCGGAGCUAAUACCGGAUAAUAUUUUGAACCGCAUGGUUCAAAAGUGAAAGACGGUCUUGCUGUCACUUAUAGAUGGAUCCGCGCUGCAUUAGCUAGUUGGUAAGGUAACGGCUUACCAAGGCAACGAUGCAUAGCCGACCUGAGAGGGUGAUCGGCCACACUGGAACUGAGACACGGUCCAGACUCCUACGGGAGGCAGCAGUAGGGAAUCUUCCGCAAUGGGCGAAAGCCUGACGGAGCAACGCCGCGUGAGUGAUGAAGGUCUUCGGAUCGUAAAACUCUGUUAUUAGGGAAGAACAUAUGUGUAAGUAACUGUGCACAUCUUGACGGUACCUAAUCAGAAAGCCACGGCUAACUACGUGCCGGCAGCCGCGGUAAUACGUAGGUGGCAAGCGUUAUCCGGAAUUAUUGGGCGUAAAGCGCGCGUAGGCGGUUUUUUAGUCUGAUGUGAAAGCCCACGGCUCAACCGUGGAGGGUCAUUGGAAACUGGAAAACUUGAGUGCAGAAGAGGAAAGUGGAAUUCCAUGUGUAGCGGUGAAAUGCGCAGAGAUAUGGAGGAACACCAGUGGCGAAGGCGACUUUCUGGUCUGUAACUGACGCUGAUGUGCGAAAGCGUGGGGAUCAAACAGGAUUAGAUACCCUGGUAGUCCACGCCGUAAACGAUGAGUGCUAAGUGUUAGGGGGUUUCCGCCCCUUAGUGCUGCAGCUAACGCAUUAAGCACUCCGCCUGGGGAGUACGACCGCAAGGUUGAAACUCAAAGGAAUUGACGGGGACCCGCACAAGCGGUGGAGCAUGUGGUUUAAUUCGAAGCAACGCGAAGAACCUUACCAAAUCUUGACAUCCUUUGACAACUCUAGAGAUAGAGCCUUCCCCUUCGGGGGACAAAGUGACAGGUGGUGCAUGGUUGUCGUCAGCUCGUGUCGUGAGAUGUUGGGUUAAGUCCCGCAACGAGCGCAACCCUUAAGCUUAGUUGCCAUCAUUAAGUUGGGCACUCUAAGUUGACUGCCGGUGACAAACCGGAGGAAGGUGGGGAUGACGUCAAAUCAUCAUGCCCCUUAUGAUUUGGGCUACACACGUGCUACAAUGGACAAUACAAAGGGCAGCGAAACCGCGAGGUCAAGCAAAUCCCAUAAAGUUGUUCUCAGUUCGGAUUGUAGUCUGCAACUCGACUACAUGAAGCUGGAAUCGCUAGUAAUCGUAGAUCAGCAUGCUACGGUGAAUACGUUCCCGGGUCU
Molecule: ribosomal RNA, 1371 nt
Filed under: uncultured bacterium
Lineage: Bacteria
Description: bacterial SSU rRNA
Rfam family: Bacterial small subunit ribosomal RNA
Source: RNAcentral